This 440-nucleotide ribosomal RNA is filed under the name uncultured bacterium. RNAcentral describes it as "partial 16S ribosomal RNA". It matches the Rfam family "Bacterial small subunit ribosomal RNA", at positions 338 to 795 of the family's 1533-position model. The record is from RNAcentral.
CCUACGGGAGGCAGCAGUGGGGAAUAUUGCACAAUGGGGGGAACCCUGAUGCAGCGACGCCGCGUGAGUGAAGAAGUAUUUCGGUAUGUAAAGCUCUAUCAGCAGGGAAGAAAAUGACGGUACCUGACUAAGAAGCCCCGGCUAACUACGGGCCAGCAGCCGCGGUAAUACGGAGGGGGCAAGCGUUAUCCGGCUUUACUGGGUGUAAAGGGAGCGUAGACGGUUCUGCAAGUCUGACGUGAAAGCCCAAGGCUCAACCCUGGGACUGCUUUGGAAACGGGAAACCUGUAGUGCAGGAGAGUGCAGCUGCAUGCCUAGUGUAGCGGUGAAAUGCGUAGAUAUUAGGAGGAACACCUGUGGCGCGGGCGGCUUACUUGACUGUACCUGACGUUGCGGCUCGAAGUCGUGGGGAGCAAACAGGAUUAGAUACCCCGGUAGUC